This 38-nucleotide ribosomal RNA is filed under the name Ficus microcarpa (Chinese banyan). RNAcentral describes it as "partial 26S ribosomal RNA". The record is from RNAcentral. Lineage: Eukaryota; Viridiplantae; Streptophyta; Magnoliopsida; Rosales; Moraceae. RNAcentral also lists the same sequence under 40 other names.
ACGCGACCCCAGGUCAGGCGGGGCUACCCGCUGAGUUU